Non-coding RNA from Zootoca vivipara (common lizard), 692 nucleotides. The record is from the annotation of a RefSeq genome assembly. Lineage: Eukaryota; Metazoa; Chordata; Lepidosauria; Squamata; Lacertidae.
CUGAACCACUUUCCAGUCAGUUCCUCUCAGAUCAAAAGAGGGAAACAAACAUGACACUUUGGCUUCAAUUUGUGUUUCUUUCAGCAGCUUUGGGAGGUGUCCAAUCAGCAGUCCAGCUGGUAGAGUCUGGAGGGGAUGUCAAAAGGCCUGGACAGUCCCUCCGCCUCUCCUGUCGAGCCUCCGGGUUCAGCUUCAGCACCUAUGCCAUGGAGUGGGUGCGACAGAGUCCUGGAAAGGGACUGGAAUGGAUUGCAGUAAUAUGGUAUGAUGGUAGCCAACAAUAUUAUGCGGACUCAGUAAAAGGGCGCUUCACCAUCUCCAGACACAACCCUUCAAACAUGCUGUAUCUACAAAUGAACAGCUUGAAAUCAGAGGACUCAGCUGUUUAUUACUGUGGAAGAGACACAGCGAAAGGAAGUGAAUCUGAAGCCAGACAAAAACCUUCCUUUGCCAGCUGGACUGCCAGUCUGAACUGUAUCAUCUGCAACCUCAAAAUACUAUAUGAAGAAGUUUGGAAAAGGAAGAUAAAUUUGACACAAAUGAGGCAUGUCUAUUGUUCAAAAUGGAAUGCUCAGACAAAGCCUAGGCUAAAUUCAGACACCACUUUAUUCUAUUUCUCCAACAAUUCAUUUCCUACUAAGUUCCACUUCUUAUGUGAUCUUUUCAUACAAUGUAAAAUUCAUUUCUGGUAA